This 67-nucleotide non-coding RNA is filed under the name Falsihalocynthiibacter arcticus. RNAcentral describes it as "Halocynthiibacter arcticus Singlet oxygen resistance RNA X". It matches the Rfam family "Singlet oxygen resistance RNA X". Rfam says of the family: SorX (RSs2461)like SorY is a singlet oxygen induced sRNA that counteracts oxidative stress by targeting mRNA for a transporter in Rhodobacter. It also has an impact on resistance against organic hydroperoxides. Lineage: Bacteria; Pseudomonadati; Pseudomonadota; Alphaproteobacteria; Rhodobacterales; Roseobacteraceae. The record is from Rfam by way of RNAcentral.
UUCCCGGCGACUGGGUUAAGUCGCACCUCCCUGUUGACUUGCCCGGGCCUUGUGCCCGGGUUUUUUA